Molecule: long non-coding RNA, 1687 nt
Organism: Eptesicus fuscus (big brown bat)
Lineage: Eukaryota; Metazoa; Chordata; Mammalia; Chiroptera; Vespertilionidae
Exons: 5
Source: RefSeq, a predicted model, not a curated record
CGCACGCGCACAGCACUCCCCGGGCGUGAGCUGCAGCGCGGCCGGGUCCGGGGGGGACCGAAGGAGGGACUCACGGAAGGGGAAGAAAAGCUGGUGUCUCACUCCGCAGGCAGCAACCGUGUAGGAAGACGGGGUGAAGGAGGCCCCGCCGCUCGCCCGGGGUCCCGGCUGGCUCUCCGGAGACGCGGGGAGCCGGGGGCGGGGCACGGGUGCACGAGCGCGUCGCGCGCCGCCCGGAAGGCAAAUCCAGACGCAUCCCUAAAUUGUGAGAAAUGUCUCAUAUAUUCAAAUUUCAAAUGACUGGACUUGGAAAUAAAAAUCAUGGCAAAAAUGAGACUUUUAAUAACAUUCCCAAGAGCAUGAGCGUCCAUUUUAUAGGAUCACCAAAAGACCUAACAUGUAAUGUCAGAAGCCAAUUUCAGCAUGUCAUAAUUGCAAGAGUUUUGUCAAAAGCCUUUCUCCAGAUUGCUGAACCCUUCGUAAUGCUGGGACAAGAACACCAACAUUAAUGGCCGCCCGAACUGGGGCUUGAACCCUGGAAACACCAACAUUAAUGGCGUGCUUCUGGAGAAAGAAGGAUUCGUCUGAGCGGAAACAACACCAGUGAUGGUGGUUAAGAUUAACUAUGUGUAGAGCCCAUGUCAGCUUCAGAACCCCGUGGAUCCGCAAAAAACUCCAAGCCCCUGUGGAUUCCUGCAACAAUGGAUACCAGAGAGGAAUUGACAGGACUGCUGCAGCCACAGAAAUAGCAGUGGCCCCGAAGAACAAAGGAGAAACAGUACAGAAGUGAAAAUAAUGAAGAUGCCUUGUCAUGCUAGCAGUCAGCAGCUGUGCAUCGCUGCAGGUUGCCCAGGACCAAACCAGAGAGGGUCAGACCUGCUUUGCCACCAUUUGUCUACCAUCCAGAACUGAAAUAUCAUUGCUGACAUGUACACAUGAGGAACUGUUGGACAUUGAAAUUGGGACUCAAAGAACUGUUGGCCCAGAAAGAAACUGACUACAGGCUAAUUCCUUUAAUGCCUGACAGCAAUUUAAAGGGACUUGAUAGAACUCUGUCCUUUCCAUUGAAUUUAAAAAUUUUAAAACAUACAUUCUUGUUUAAUUUAAAAAAUCAAAAAGGGUGAGAUGCCGGAAGCCAGUUUCAGCAUGUCAUAAUUGCAAGAGUUUUGUAAAAAGGUUGAAGCUAGUGGGGCUCAACAAGGGUGAGCCACAUAUGUAGUUUACCUGUUGGAACGGCUGCAAAGGCACUUCCCCCAAACCUGAAUAGGAUUGUUAACUGCCAGACAGCUCAGGGCAUCUCAGUCUACAUGUUAUUGCCUCCUGUUGGCCAAACACCUGAACAGCUGUAGGUUAUUCCCCAAUCUGACAAUGCUUCUGUACCCUACCCUUUGAAACCCUACCCUUUGAAGUGUAUUAUCUCCACCUUGCCUUAGGACAAAUUGUGUUAAUAAGAAGCACUGGGUUCUGAGUCAAGGGGUAGUCUUGAGCUUCUUUAGCUGAAGCUCCUCUGACUCCCAUUGCCUUUCAACACUACCUUUCGUCUUUGGACUCCUUAUUGAAUCUAUGCGCAGCUCCUUUCUCCAGAUUGCUGAACCCUUCGUAAUGCUGGGACAAGAACCCCGGCAAUGUAAAGGGCAAAAUAUUUUGUUCACUUAAUUUGGAAAUAAUAAAAAUGUUAAUAUAGCAA